This is a long non-coding RNA of Eurytemora carolleeae, 146 nucleotides long. RefSeq lists it as uncharacterized. NCBI's taxonomy places the organism in Eukaryota, Metazoa, Arthropoda, Copepoda, Calanoida, Temoridae. The transcript has 2 exons. The record is from RefSeq and is a predicted model, not a curated record.
AGAAUAAAAUGUCGCACAUAGAGAACCUGAAAGCUUUUGAUCCCUUUGCAGAUGCAGCGAAGGGGGACGACGAGGCUGUGCAGGACGGAUUAGUCCACGUCAGAAUUCAGCAGAGAAAUGGAAGAAAAACCCUGACAACAGUGCAA